CCUACGUGAGGCAGCAGUGGGGAAUAUUGGACAAUGGGCGAAAGCCUGAUCCAGCCAUGCCGCGUGUGUGAAGAAGGCCUUCGGGUUGUAAAGCACUUUCAGUGGGGAAGAAAGCCUUGGGGCUAAUACCCUCGAGGAAGGACAUCACCCACAGAAGAAGCACCGGCUAACUCCGUGCCAGCAGCCGCGGUAAUACGGAGGGUGCGAGCGUUAAUCGGAAUUACUGGGCGUAAAGCGCGCGUAGGCGGUCUGAUAAGCCGGUUGUGAAAGCCCCGGGCUCAACCUGGGAACGGCAUCCGGAACUGUCAGGCUAGAGUGCAGGAGAGGAAGGUAGAAUUCCCGGUGUAGCGGUGAAAUGCGUAGAGAUCGGGAGGAAUACCAGUGGCGAAGGCGGCCUUCUGGACUGACACUGACGCUGAGGUGCGAAAGCGUGGGUAGCAAACAGGAUUAGAUACCCUGGUAGUC
Molecule: ribosomal RNA, 465 nt
Filed under: Vreelandella stevensii
Lineage: Bacteria; Pseudomonadati; Pseudomonadota; Gammaproteobacteria; Oceanospirillales; Halomonadaceae
Description: partial 16S ribosomal RNA
Rfam family: Bacterial small subunit ribosomal RNA
Source: RNAcentral